RNAcentral lists this long non-coding RNA (2168 nucleotides) under Marmota monax (woodchuck). Lineage: Eukaryota; Metazoa; Chordata; Mammalia; Rodentia; Sciuridae. The record is from RNAcentral.
CAGGACCUGGGGACAUGUGUGCCGACCAGGUUUUCAAGGUGACCACUGUCUUCUUGAAAUAUGGCUCUUGUGAGAUGAAUUUUGCCCUGGAGGAGUCCCAAGGGUCCUGGUGACAAGGACGGCCUUAGGGGCUGUUGGAGAUGGCCGUGGCCCGUUCUCCAUCACUGUAACAAAUACGCCAGGUGAUCCACUUAUAAAGAGAAAAGGUUCAAGUGUGAAUGCGAGUUCUGGAGGCUUCGGUCUAUAUGGGGUGGCCGGGUGGUGUUGGGGUCUCUAGUGGCUAAGACAACGUGUCAUCGUGGAGAGGGCAUUGGGGACAAGCUGCCUCAGGAGCCGGGAGUGAAAGAGAGAAAGAGGAAGAGUCUGGGGUCCGACCGUCACCUUCAAUGCCAUCGCCAAUUGUCCCAGAGCGAGGCCUUCUGGGAAGCAUUCAAACCCCAAUUCUUGUCAAGUCCGAAAGAUGUCAAACCUGUCACUCAGAGUGACAGGCAGGAGCGUAUUGAAGGGGUGGAAAGGGGAAGGGGACACUUUCAAGGGACAGAGGGGUCCUCUCAGGACAGGGACAGCCCUCCUGCCCUCCAGUUUUAUUGGGGUCCCAGGGAAGUUCCCAGAGAGCCCCUCCCAGGUCCCCUCCUGACUUUUGACGGACAGCAGGGUGACAUCCAACUCUCCAGUCCCCAUGGCCAUGGCCACUCUGGGUCACCCUGGCCCCUGCUGCCCGGUUCUCAGUGGAACCUGUUCUUGCAGAUUUUAGGGUUGGAGGAAAGAUCAUUGUCCCCAUGAGUCCCGAGAUCUGGUCUGCGUCAGGGUCCCAGAAGUCCCCCCUUCAGGGUCACCUAGCUCCUCUCAGGGACAGGAUUUCCUGCCUGCAUUUCUUUGGGUGCCAAGUCCAUGUCGCCCAUGUGAGCUGGACCGUCCCCGUUUGAGCUGAUGACCUGCAGCUUGCAAGGCGUCACUCCCUCGGCCCCCACUGUCCCCUCCCCCGGCUGGUGUUCAAAGGCUGUGCGCGCCAGAGGCCCACCUGGGUGUCCAUUCCCCGCGGCGUGGCCAAGGGCUGCCCAGGUCCGAGCGCAGGACCGUGUGUGCGGGAGCUCACGAGCGUCCUCCGCGGGUGCCCAGGUUGCGCACUCGUACGCGGGCGAGGACCCCUGGGCGUGCAAACGCGUGCAAACCGAGUGUCGAGUGGCGCGGGCUCUGUCCCCCGCCGGCCCUCUCCGUCACCUGUGAAAUCUGCAUUUUAUUGAGAUACUAUGCUCACUUCCAUCUUAUGACUGGACCACAUCUUGCAGCCACCACCUUCGUGGGGUCCCCAGACACGUGUUAUGGUCCCCAAAGGACACCCCACCCUUCAGCAAAGUCUUAUUGGAAUCAGCAAAAAGAACGACAUCGAAAAUUUGAAACUUAGCUCAGGUUUUAUGGGAAAAUAAUUUUCUCUUUUAUUUAUCUUAAAAUGCCUCUUGUCGCUUCUUUGUUAGAAAAACUGAUACUUUUUAUUUAUUUAUUUUUUUUUGGGGGGGGGCGGUUCUCGGAAUUGAACCAAUAGAACCUUAUUCGGAGUCAAUGGCACGUUCUGCCCACUAGGUGGCGCCCCAACCUGGCAUGUGAAUAUUCAUAUAUAUACGUACAUAGGGACUUAAGUCAGAAAUCAGUGAUUUGGGGCACGUCUAGUGUUUUUCCACCUUAAAACCCCACACGAACCAGGCACAGUGGUGCACAUCUGUGAUCCCAGGAGUCUGAGGCAGGAGGAUGGGGAAGUUGGAGGCCAGCUUGGGCAACUUAGGGAGGCUCUGUCUGUAAACAAAAAAUGAAAAGGGUUGGGGAUGUAGCUCCGUGGUCGAAGGCCCCUGGGUUCGAUCCCUGGUACAAACAAACAAACAAACAAACAAACAAAUAAAUAAAUAAAUAAAUAAAUAAAUAAAUAAAGUUAAUUGAAUUAUUAUUAAGUUAAUUAAAAAUAUGUAAAAAGGGCUGGGGAUGAGGCUCAGUGGUCCAGUGCCCCUGAGUUCCUAACCUGGUACCUUCCCCCCCAAUGGGGUGAUUGGGUUGCUUGCUCAUGUAACUGAAUUUUCAGUACAUCCUCAAUAUGUAAUAAACAUUUGACAUCACAACCACUUUCCAUGUGCGUGGCUUAUCAUUUUAUCUUAUUCAUGGUGUUACUCAAAAAGUGC